UUGGACGUGAAAGCUCCUGGCUCAACUAGGAGAGGUCGUUCAAAACUGCCUGGCUAGAGGGCGACAGAGGGAGGUGGAAUUCCCGGUGUAGUGGUGAAAUGCGUAGAUAUCGGGAGGAACACCAGUGGCGAAGGCGGCCUCCUGGGUCGCCCCUGACGCUCAGACGCGAAAGCUAGGGGAGCAAACGGGAUUAGAUACCCCGGUAGUCCUAGCUGUAAACGAUGUGGACUUGGCGUUGGUGGGGUCAAAUCCAUCAGUGCCGUAGCUAACGCGAUAAGUCCACCGCCUGGGGACUACGGCCGCAAGGUUAAAACUCAAAGGAAUU
This 325-nucleotide ribosomal RNA is filed under the name uncultured organism. RNAcentral's name for it is "bacterial SSU rRNA". It matches the Rfam family "Bacterial small subunit ribosomal RNA", at positions 588 to 911 of the family's 1533-position model. The record is from RNAcentral.